This 317-nucleotide long non-coding RNA is filed under the name Equus caballus (horse). Its description in RNAcentral is "lncRNA (ENSECAG00000040949.2)". Lineage: Eukaryota; Metazoa; Chordata; Mammalia; Perissodactyla; Equidae. The record is from RNAcentral.
CAAGAAGUCAGCCAAGCCUACACCUUGAUUUCAGCCUCAAGAACCCAGCACACUCUUCCAGAUUGCUGACAUAUAGAAUGCACUGCACUACCGUGGAUAAUCCCUGUGCGAGUCCAUCAUCCAACUGGAGCUUAUGACUGACCAGACCAACGUAAUACUGCAGAAGUGAUACUACGUGACUUCCAUGGUCGUGUCAUUAAAAGGAUACAGAUGCCAUCUGGCUCUCCAGAUGCUUGCAUUUUGGAAUCCAGCCACAAUGUUGUAAGAAAUACAGGCCACAUGGAGCCACGACAUGAGGCUAUUACAACCAACAGCCC